RNAcentral lists this long non-coding RNA (2943 nucleotides) under Homo sapiens (human). RNAcentral describes it as "HSALNT0396694". The record is from RNAcentral. Lineage: Eukaryota; Metazoa; Chordata; Mammalia; Primates; Hominidae.
UCACAGGGGAGAUUGUGACAUACUGCUGGGCCCAGCAUUUGGUUAUGUGACUCUAUAUUCCUGUCUCGGAGUUACCCACAGAGGGCAAUGUGCCACAUCACUGGACCUUACAUCCAGGUUCUGCCCACAGGGAAGAUUGUGGUGAAUUACUGAACGCGAUACCUAGAUGAAGGAGAGACUAUAACAUACCUCUUGGCCCAGCACCUAGUUGAUGUAACUCUGCUCUCCUGCCUGGGCCACACCUACAGAAGAAAGAGUGACUUCUCACUGGGCCAGCACACAGGUCAUGUUAUUUUACUGCCUUGAUCCUUGUCCACAAUAAUCAUUGUACAUAGUUUUGGGCUCUUCUACUAGAAGACGUGCGGGAUGGUUAAAUAUCACUGGACCUAGCACCUAGGGAAUGUGACUCUUGUCUUUUGCAUCAGCCCCACUCGUUUUGAGAACUGUAACAUAUCACUGGGCCAAACACCUAGAAGAUGGGAAGUGUCUGCCUAUGCCCUGCAAACAGGGCUUUAGCCCUACCACUCUCAAGAGCCUCGUGACAUAUCUCUGCAUUCAUCAUCUAGGAGAUGUGACUCCUCCCUGCUGCCUGCGCUCUGCCUACAGGGAAGACCAUAACAACAUUUGGCCCAGCAACACGGUGAUGUGUUUUUUCCCAGGGCCUUGCUCACAGGGAGCAUUGUGACAUAUCACUGGAACCAGCAUCCAGGGCUGUGACUCUGUGUCCUGCUGUUAGAACAGGAUUGUAACAUAUCACUGACCAAGCACCCAGGUGAUGUGACUCUUCUGCCUGGUGCCUGCCUUCAGGGAAAAUUGUGACAUAUGCCUGGCCUAGCACCAAAGUGAUGUGGCUCUCCUGCUACCUCUAUGCACAGGUGGGAUUGUGACAUAUACCUUCAUUCAGCUCAUAGGUGAGGUGAUAACUCUCAUACCACAAACCAAACAGUAGGAGAGAUGCUGUCUGUCAAAGCUAAGCUUACAGAAAUACACAAGAUUCAGGGACUUUUCUUUGUAUAAACAUUAUAGUAGAUUACUGCUCUCUUGUAUAUAAUAUAAACUUCUCAGGUGGUACAGAGAGUGUCAUCACAGGGCCCAGCGCACAGGUGAGAAUACAUUAUUUGUAUGCACGCCCCACCACCCAUUAGGAUUUUCACCCUCAAACAUGGAAAGAGCCUACUGGUAAGGUCUUGAAUCUCACACCUGGAUGCAGUCUACAGUUGAAAUUGUGAUUGUCAUAGGUGAAUAUCCAGCUGCAGUUGAGAUGGUGACUCAUUUCUAACUUAGCUCUGAGGCAGGUGAGGACUGUUUUAUUUGGAACCAGCCAAUUAUAAAGAUGUUGACUCUCAUAUUUGAGCUUAGUUCUACAGGUACAAUCAUGGGUCCAUAACAUCAUGAAGGUCAUAGAGCAGUUUGCAACUCUCAUUAAUACUGUAGAAGGCUCUUGGGUGGUACUGAGAGGGUCUUAGCAGAGCCCCGCACACAGGUGAGAUUGUGACACUCAUAUGCACACCCAGCCAACAAUAAAACUUUUCAUCUUUCCACAUGAACACAGCCCACUGUUGAGGUCCUGAGUCUCCCUUGUGAAAACAGUGCAAAGUUGAAAAAUUGACUCUUAUAUGUGGAUUUGGUUCACAGAUGGGUUGGUGAUGCUCAGACAAAUAUUCAGCACACCUGUGAGUCUGCGACUCCAGUAAUCAUCCACAGUCUGCAGGAGAAAUUGAGGCUCUCACCAACAAAUCAAGUGCACAAUUGAGAUUGCGACUCUUGUACUCAGACCCAACAUACAGAAUGUGUUGACUCUCAAUUUUAAAACCAGAACAUGUGUGAGAUUAUUAAUCUGAUCUCUAAACCAUCCUGCAAGUGUGAUUGUGACACAAGUCUCUGUUCAGUACUUGAGUGAUUUGACUCCUUUGCCUGGGCCCAGUCCAAAGAUGUAAUUGUGACAUAUCACUGAAACCAGCAUAUAGGAGAUGUGUCUCCAUACUCCUGCCUUGGUGCUGCCCACAGUGGGCACUGUGACAUAUCACUGGGCCUUGUAUCCAAGUGAUGUAAGUCUCUUCUUUCUUGAUACUGACCACAGGAGACACUAUGACAUAUCCCUGGGCCUCAAGCUCAGCUUAUGUCAUUCUCCUAUUUGUUCUCUGUCCACAUGGGCCAUUGUGACAUACUGCUGAGUUUGGCAUCCAUGUGAUAUAACACUUCAGCCUCAGCUUUGCUCACUUGGGGCAUUGUGAUGUAUCUCUGCACCCAUCACUUAGAUGAUUCAACUCUUUUCUUCUGUCUCAUCUGUGCUUAAAACGGGCAAUUGUUACCUAUUGCUGGGUCCAGCAUGUAGCUGAUGUGUCUCUUCUCAUCUUCCUAAGGACUGCCUGCAGGGGAUAUGGUGACAUUUUACUUUGCCCAGCACCAAGAUGACUUGAAUCUGCUGCCUUUGUUCUACUUUCAGAAGACAUUGUGACAUAUCGCUGGGCCUAGCACCAAGGUGAUGUGAAUCUUCUGCCUGGACCUGCUCACAGAGGGAAUUGUUACAUAUUUUUGACUUCAUCAACUAUUUGAUGUGACUCUCCUCUCUAACCUGGGCCUUGCCCAUAAAAAACAUUGUGGCUUAUCUCUGGGCCCAAAACCUAGGUGAUGUGACUGUCUUCUUAGGGUCAUGCCCACAGUAGAGAGAUGCCUUAUUGCUAAACCCAGCACACAGGUGAGGUGAUUCUUCUGUCUGGUCCCUGCCCACAGGGGUCAUGAUGACAUCUCUCUAAGCCCAUCACCUAGAUUAUGUGAGUUCUCUUUUUCUUCUGUUAGCUAUAUAGAAGAUUGUGACAUAUUGCUUGGCCCAGACCUCAUGUGAUGUGAAUCUCCUCUCAUGCCUUGGUCCUGUUUUUUUUUGGCCGUUGUUGUUUUGUUUUGUUUUUUGAGAUGGAGUCUUGCUCUGUUGCCUAAGCUGGA